RNAcentral lists this ribosomal RNA (253 nucleotides) under uncultured bacterium. Its description in RNAcentral is "partial 16S ribosomal RNA". It matches the Rfam family "Bacterial small subunit ribosomal RNA", at positions 524 to 776 of the family's 1533-position model. The record is from RNAcentral.
UACAAAGGGGGCAAGCGUUGUUCGGAAUUACUGGGCGUAAAGCGCGCGUAGGCGGACCUGCAAGUCGGGGGUGAAAGCCCGAGGCUCAACCUCGGAACUGCCUUCGAUACUGCGGGUCUCGAGUCCGGGAGAGGUGAGUGGAAUUCCUAGUGUAGUGGUGAAAUGCGUAGAGAUCCGGAGGAACACCAGUGGCAAAGGCGACACGCUGGGCCAUACCUGACGCUAAAGCGCGACAGCAUGGGGAGCAAACGGG